RNAcentral lists this transfer RNA (80 nucleotides) under Danionella cerebrum. Its description in RNAcentral is "tRNA-Val". The stretch from base 8 to 65 matches the Rfam family "tRNA", at positions 8 to 63 of the family's 71-position model. Rfam says of the family: Transfer RNA (tRNA) molecules are approximately 80 nucleotides in length. Their secondary structure includes four short double-helical elements and three loops (D, anti-codon, and T loops). Further hydrogen bonds mediate the characteristic L-shaped molecular structure. tRNAs have two regions of fundamental functional importance: the anti-codon, which is responsible for specific mRNA codon recognition, and the 3' end, to which the tRNAs corresponding amino acid is attached (by aminoacyl-tRNA synthetases). tRNAs cope with the degeneracy of the genetic code in two manners: having more than one tRNA (with a specific anti-codon) for a particular amino acid; and 'wobble' base-pairing, i.e. permitting non-standard base-pairing at the 3rd anti-codon position. Lineage: Eukaryota; Metazoa; Chordata; Actinopteri; Cypriniformes; Danionidae. The record is from RNAcentral.
UUUCCUGUGGCUCAGUUGGUAGAGCAUUGCGCUAACAACGCAAAGGCUAUGGAUUCAAAUCCCAAGAACUGACAGAAAAA